GAUGAACGCUAGCUACAGGCUUAACACAUGCAAGUCGAGGGGCAGCAUGAAUAUUGGCUUGCCAAUAUUUGAUGGCGACCGGCGCACGGGUGAGUAACACGUAUCCAACCUUCCGGUUACUCGGGGAUAGGCUUUCGAAAGAAAGAUUAAUACCCGAUGUUGUGUAUCUUUCUCCUGAAAGAUACGCCAAAGGAUUCCGGUAACCGAUGGGGAUGCGUUCCAUUAGGCAGUUGGCGGGGUAACGGCCCACCAAACCUUCGAUGGAUAGGGGUUCUGAGAGGAAGGUUCCCCACAUUGGAACUGAGACACGGUCCAAACUCCUACGGGAGGCAGCAGUGAGGAAUAUUGGUCAAUGGACGGAAGUCUGAACCAGCCAAGUAGCGUGAAGGAUGACUGCCCUCUGGGUUGUAAACUUCUUUUAUACGGGAAUAACAUGAGGUACGCGUACCUUAUUGCAUGUACCGUUAUGAAUAAGCAUCGGCUAACUCCGUGCCAGCAGCCGCGGUAAUACGGAGGAUGCGAGCGUUAUCCGGAUUUAUUGGGUUUAAAGGGAGCGUAGGUGGGAUAUUAAGUCAGCUGUGAAAGUUUGGGGCUCAACCUUAAAAUUGCAGUUGAUACUGGUUUCCUUGAGUACGGUACAGGUGGGCGGAAUUCGUGGUGUAGCGGUGAAAUGCUUAGAUAUCACGAAGAACUCCGAUCGCGAAGGCAGCUCACCGGGCCGGAACUGACACUGAUGCUCGAAAGUGCGGGUAUCAAACAGGAUUAGAUACCCUGGUAGUCCGCACAGUAAACGAUGAAUACUCGCUGUUUGCGAUACACUGUAAGCGGCCAAGCGAAAGCGUUAAGUAUUCCACCUGGGGAGUACGCCGGCAACGGUGAAACUCAAAGGAAUUGACGGGGGCCCGCACAAGCGGAGGAACAUGUGGUUUAAUUCGAUGAUACGCGAGGAACCUUACCCGGGCUUAAAUUGCGCUGGCUUUUACCGGAAACGGUAUUUUCUUCGGACCAGCGUGAAGGUGCUGCAUGGUUGUCGUCAGCUCGUGCCGUGAGGUGUCGGCUUAAGUGCCAUAACGAGCGCAACCCUUAUCUUUAGUUACUAACAGUUUUGCUGAGGACUCUAAAGAGACUGCCGUCGUAAGAUGCGAGGAAGGUGGGGAUGACGUCAAAUCAGCACGGCCCUUACGUCCGGGGCUACACACGUGUUACAAUGGGGAGCACAGCAGGUUGCUACACGGCGACGUGAUGCCAAUCCGUAAAACUCCUCUCAGUUCGGAUCGAAGUCUGCAACCCGACUUCGUGAAGCUGGAUUCGCUAGUAAUCGCGCAUCAGCCACGGCGCGGUGAAUACGUUCCCGGGCCU
This 1359-nucleotide ribosomal RNA is filed under the name uncultured bacterium. RNAcentral describes it as "bacterial SSU rRNA". It matches the Rfam family "Bacterial small subunit ribosomal RNA", at positions 28 to 1381 of the family's 1533-position model. The record is from RNAcentral.